AUAAUAUAAAUAUCUGCAAACUAACCAGCUAGAUUUGACUCGACUCAAGGAUAUGUGAGCU
RNAcentral lists this transfer RNA (61 nucleotides) under Lamprotula caveata. RNAcentral's name for it is "tRNA-Leu". Lineage: Eukaryota; Metazoa; Mollusca; Bivalvia; Unionida; Unionidae. The record is from RNAcentral.